Molecule: ribosomal RNA, 478 nt
Filed under: uncultured bacterium
Lineage: Bacteria
Description: bacterial SSU rRNA
Rfam family: Bacterial small subunit ribosomal RNA
Source: RNAcentral
ACGCUGGCGGCAGCCUAACACAUGCAAGUCGAGCGCUCGUAGCAAUACGGGAGCGGCAGACGGGAGAGUAACACGUGGGAACGUACCUUUCGGUUCGGAAUAACCCAGGGAAACUUGGGCUAAUACCGGAUACGUCCGUAAGGAGAAAGAUUUAUCGCCGAAAGAUCGGCCCGCGUCCGAUUAGCUUGUUGGUGAGGUAACGGCUCACCAAGGCGACGAUCGGUAGCUGGUCUGAGAGGAUGAUCAGCCUCACUGGGACUGAGACACGGCCCAGACUCCUACGGGAGGCAGCAGUGGGGAAUAUUGGACAAUGGGCGCAAGCCUGAUCCAGCCAUGCCGCGUGGGUGAUGACGGCCUUAGGGUUGUAAAGCCCUUUCGGCGGGGAAGAUAAUGACGGUUACCGCAGAAGAAGCCCCGGCAAACUUCGUGCCAGCAGCCGCGGUAAUACGAAGGGGGCUAGCGUUGCUCGGAAUCACUG